Molecule: ribosomal RNA, 429 nt
Filed under: bacterium
Lineage: Bacteria
Description: partial 16S ribosomal RNA
Rfam family: Bacterial small subunit ribosomal RNA
Source: RNAcentral
UAGGGAAUCUUCGGCAAUGGGGGCAACCCUGACCGAGCAACGCCGCGUGAGUGAAGAAGGUUUUCGGAUCGUAAAGCUCUGUUGUAAGAGAAGAACGUGUGUGAGAGUGGAAAGUUCACACAGUGACGGUAACUUACCAGAAAGGGACGGCUAACUACGUGCCAGCAGCCGCGGUAAUACGUAGGUCCCGAGCGUUGUCCGGAUUUAUUGGGCGUAAAGCGAGCGCAGGCGGUUUAAUAAGUCUGAAGUGAAAGGCAGUGGCUUAACCAUUGUUCGCUUUGGAAACUGUUAAACUUGAGUGCAGAAGGGGAGAGUGGAAUUCCAUGUGUAGCGGUGAAAUGCGUAGAUAUAUGGAGGAACACCGGUGGCGAAAGCGGCUCUCUGGUCUGUAACUGACGCUGAGGCUCGAAAGCGUGGGGAGCAAACAGG